RNAcentral lists this ribosomal RNA (2224 nucleotides) under Salmonella enterica. RNAcentral describes it as "bacterial LSU rRNA". It matches the Rfam family "Bacterial large subunit ribosomal RNA", at positions 692 to 2812 of the family's 2925-position model. Lineage: Bacteria; Pseudomonadati; Pseudomonadota; Gammaproteobacteria; Enterobacterales; Enterobacteriaceae. The record is from RNAcentral.
GCGUUAAGUUGCAGGGUAUAGACCCGAAACCCGGUGAUCUAGCCAUGGGCAGGUUGAAGGUUGGGUAACACUAACUGGAGGACCGAACCGACUAAUGUUGAAAAAUUAGCGGAUGACCUGUGGCUGGGGGUGAAAGGCCAAUCAAACCGGGAGAUAGCUGGUUCUCCCCGAAAGCUAUUUAGGUAGCGCCUCGUGAAUUCAUCUCCGGGGGUAGAGCACUGUUUCGGCUAGGGGGCCAUCCCGGCUUACCAACCCGAUGCAAACUGCGAAUACCGGAGAAUGUUAUCACGGGAGACACACGGCGGGUGCUAACGUCCGUCGUGAAGAGGGAAACAACCCAGACCGCCAGCUAAGGUCCCAAAGUCAUGGUUAAGUGGGAAACGAUGUGGGAAGGCCCAGACAGCCAGGAUGUUGGCUUAGAAGCAGCCAUCAUUUAAAGAAAGCGUAAUAGCUCACUGGUCGAGUCGGCCUGCGCGGAAGAUGUAACGGGGCUAAACCAUGCACCGAAGCUGCGGCAGCGAACGUAUCACCCAAGACAACUUUACGGAGUUGACGAUUGACGGAGCGAAGCGACGUCAAAGCGUUCAUUAAAGUCGAGUUGGCUUAGGGAUACGUUCGUUGGGUAGGGGAGCGUUCUGUAAGCCUGUGAAGGUGGCCUGUGAGGGUUGCUGGAGGUAUCAGAAGUGCGAAUGCUGACAUAAGUAACGAUAAAGCGGGUGAAAAGCCCGCUCGCCGGAAGACCAAGGGUUCCUGUCCAACGUUAAUCGGGGCAGGGUGAGUCGACCCCUAAGGCGAGGCCGAAAGGCGUAGUCGAUGGGAAACGGGUUAAUAUUCCCGUACUUGGUGUUACUGCGAAGGGGGGACGGAGAAGGCUAUGUUGGCCGGGCGACGGUUGUCCCGGUUUAAGCGUGUAGGUGUGUGUUCCAGGUAAAUCCGGUUCACUUUAACACUGAGGCGUGAUGACGAGGCACUACGGUGCUGAAGCAACAAAUGCCCUGCUUCCAGGAAAAGCCUCUAAGCAUCAGGUAACAUCAAAUCGUACCCCAAACCGACACAGGUGGUCAGGUAGAGAAUACCAAGGCGCUUGAGAGAACUCGGGUGAAGGAACUAGGCAAAAUGGUGCCGUAACUUCGGGAGAAGGCACGCUGACACGUAGGUGAAGUGAUUUACUCAUGGAGCUGAAGUCAGUCGAAGAUACCAGCUGGCUGCAACUGUUUAUUAAAAACACAGCACUGUGCAAACACGAAAGUGGACGUAUACGGUGUGACGCCUGCCCGGUGCCGGAAGGUUAAUUGAUGGGGUCAGCGCAAGCGAAGCUCCUGAUCGAAGCCCCGGUAAACGGCGGCCGUAACUAUAACGGUCCUAAGGUAGCGAAAUUCCUUGUCGGGUAAGUUCCGACCUGCACGAAUGGCGUAAUGAUGGCCAGGCUGUCUCCACCCGAGACUCAGUGAAAUUGAACUCGCUGUGAAGAUGCAGUGUACCCGCGGCAAGACGGAAAGACCCCGUGAACCUUUACUAUAGCUUGACACUGAACAUUGAGCCUUGAUGUGUAGGAUAGGUGGGAGGCUUUGAAGCGUGGACGCCAGUCUGCGUGGAGCCGGCCUUGAAAUACCACCCUUUAAUGUUUGAUGUUCUAACGUGGACCCGUUACCCGGGUUGCGGACAGUGUCUGGUGGGUAGUUUGACUGGGGCGGUCUCCUCCUAAAGAGUAACGGAGGAGCACGAAGGUUGGCUAAUCCUGGUCGGACAUCAGGAGGUUAGUGCAAUGGCAUAAGCCAGCUUGACUGCGAGCGUGACGGCGCGAGCAGGUGCGAAAGCAGGUCAUAGUGAUCCGGUGGUUCUGAAUGGAAGGGCCAUCGCUCAACGGAUAAAAGGUACUCCGGGGAUAACAGGCUGAUACCGCCCAAGAGUUCAUAUCGACGGCGGUGUUUGGCACCUCGAUGUCGGCUCAUCACAUCCUGGGGCUGAAGUAGGUCCCAAGGGUAUGGCUGUUCGCCAUUUAAAGUGGUACGCGAGCUGGGUUUAGAACGUCGUGAGACAGUUCGGUCCCUAUCUGCCGUGGGCGCUGGAGAACUGAGGGGGGCUGCUCCUAGUACGAGAGGACCGGAGUGGACGCAUCACUGGUGUUCGGGUUGUCAUGCCAAUGGCACUGCCCGGUAGCUAAAUGCGGAAGAGAUAAGUGCUGAAAGCAUCUAAGCACGAAACUUGCCCCGAGAUGAGUUCU